AAAGGAAAAGGAACCCCAGGAAAAGAAAAAAUGCUUAAACUGAUAGAAGAAGAAGAUGCUCUUAUGAGAGGUAUAAUUUCUAGUUUCUAAUCUCUUUCAUCUUUAUGUCCACUAUAAUGAUCUUCACUGUUUUUUUUUUCAGAAUUUGAACCUAUCUUUCAAGCUUGAAAGCUACUGAUUGCGGCUGUUGGAGACUCAAGACUGAAUAUCAGUUUGUUGUUGUUAUUGUGUUUUCCUUCUCGUUGCCUAGUUUUUAUUUUUUGAAGUUUUACUUGGUCAGUUUGUUGUUGUUAAAUUGUUAUGUCUACUACUCUACUUAUGAUUUAUGUUAAACUUGUGUGUGG
RNAcentral lists this long non-coding RNA (344 nucleotides) under Brassica rapa (field mustard). RNAcentral's name for it is "long non-coding RNA (BRAP_LNC001180)". Lineage: Eukaryota; Viridiplantae; Streptophyta; Magnoliopsida; Brassicales; Brassicaceae. The record is from RNAcentral.